AGGGAGAUAAUACCACAAGUGAACAGCAUUAUAUAGUUCUGCUCUAGUACAGAGAGCACUGAGAUACCAUAGACUUACAUAGUUUUUAGAAGUACAAAAUGGAUAUCACAGUACGAAAUAUGUUAUUUCCAGCAUUCCCUUUCAGAAGGAAAAGGAGAAUAGAGAAGAUGACGUAAAGGAGGAAAAAGAGAUUAGUUUAGGCUGGCCUUAUUGAACCUUGCUGAUUUACAAUCUAUUUGGAUUCUAGACGACACAACAGUGGGAGAACAAGCAUCAAUGACAGUUAGCUGUCCUUGAAAAAGAAAUCAUUAGCACUCAACAGGAAUGAUCACUGUGUAUUUUGCAAAUAUUAUUGAAUCUGAAAAUAAUUAGAAUGUACUUUUUUAAUGGAAAUGGAUCUGGCCUUUCAAUAGUUCUGUCAUA
This is a long non-coding RNA of Xenopus tropicalis (tropical clawed frog), 423 nucleotides long. RefSeq lists it as uncharacterized. The record is from RefSeq and is a predicted model, not a curated record. The transcript has 3 exons. Lineage: Eukaryota; Metazoa; Chordata; Amphibia; Anura; Pipidae.